Molecule: long non-coding RNA, 1147 nt
Organism: Lolium rigidum
Lineage: Eukaryota; Viridiplantae; Streptophyta; Magnoliopsida; Poales; Poaceae
Exons: 3
Source: RefSeq, a predicted model, not a curated record
GGACGUGCGUGCUUGCUACCCGCUGGCGGGACGUCUGGAAGUCCGUCCCCGCCCUGCGCAUCAAUGUAAGCCCCAAAGAGGAUUACGACAGCGCAACUGCCCUGGCCAAGUUUGUCAAUCACCUGCUGCUCCGCCGUGACCCAGCAGCGGCUCUGCGUCAAUGUGAAAUCUGCGCCAGAUUCGAGAAUCUGGACAGGCCCGAGUAUGAGGACAGGGAUCAGGCUCUCCAAUACGUUGAACAGUGGAUCCAGUAUGCUAUAUCUUGCAAGGUUCAGAAACUUCGUGUUGACGGCGUCUACGGUUUUAACAACCGUGUGGAGCUUUCCAAGGCGACUCUCAUCUCCAAGCACCUGAGGAAAUUGUCCCUUGAUUCUUUCAAGUUUGAGGGACGCUCUCUAGAUCUUUCGAGCUGUGAUGCACUAGAGGUGUUAAUGCUGGAGGCUUGUGAUAUCAAUCCUGAGAACAUAUUCCCCAAAUCGUUACAUCAUUUGAGCAUCAGUGGUAGUUCAUCCUUCUUGGCUCCGGACACCCGCACUUCUAUUUCUGCCCCAAGUCUUGUUACCUUGCACUUAACCCGCUUUUGCGGUUGGACUCCUUUGUUUGGGAGCAUGCCAUUAUUGGAAACGGCAUAUAUCAGUUCAGAAGAUCCAUAUCACGAUUUUUGUUACAAUGGCGAUUACUACGGGGAUUGUGGUGAUCACACAUGUAAAGGAUGCUAUAGUUUAUCAUGAUAGUAGCCAAUGUAUGAUUCUUGAUCGUUUGUCAGGCGUAACGAAUUUAAUGUUGAUGAGUGAACCUACAACGUUUAUUUUCAGAAAGGAUUUCAAAUGGCGUCCUAUGUUUAGCAACCUAAAAACGUUGUUGCUCAGUGAGUGGUGCGUUGUUCCUGACUUCAGUGGACUAAUUUACUUUCUCCAGCACUCACCAAUUAUGGAGAAGCUUACCCUUCAGAUUCUGUACUCCAUUAUGGGAGAUGUUGAAAUUGAUGAAAGCUAUAGACCAGCGAAACAUUUCAUGGCAUCGAAGCAUCUCAAGGUAGUAAAAAUCAGAUGCAUAAAGGAAGACAAACUGAUUCGCCAUAUUUUAAAGAUCCUCUGUACACAUGGAGUACCUCGUGAAAAAAUUGACAUCGAAGUGAACCCGUAUU